GACGCCUUCGGGUUGUAAAGCCCUUUUGUUGGGAAAGAAAUCCAGCUGGUUAAUACCCGGUUGGGAUGACGGUACCCAAAGAAUAAGCACCGGCUAACUUCGUGCCAGCAGCCGCGGUAAUACGAAGGGUGCAAGCGUUACUCGGAAUUACUGGGCGUAAAGCGUGCGUAGGUGGUCGUUUAAGUCCGUUGUGAAAGCCCUGGGCUCAACCUGGGAACUGCAGUGGAUACUGGGCGACUAGAGUGUGGUAGAGGGUAGCGGAAUUCCUGGUGUAGCAGUGAAAUGCGUAGAGAUCAGGAGGAACAUCCAUGGCGAAGGCAGCUACCUGGACCAACACUGACACUGAGGCACGAAAGCGUGGGGAGCAAACAGGAUUAGAUACCCUGGUAGUCCACGCCCUAAACGAUGCGAACUGGAUGUUGGGUGCAAUUUGGCACGCAGUAUCGAAGCUAACGCGUUAAGUUCGCCGCCUGGGGAGUACGGUCGCA
This 488-nucleotide ribosomal RNA is filed under the name uncultured Stenotrophomonas sp. RNAcentral's name for it is "bacterial SSU rRNA". It matches the Rfam family "Bacterial small subunit ribosomal RNA", at positions 411 to 890 of the family's 1533-position model. The record is from RNAcentral. Lineage: Bacteria; Pseudomonadati; Pseudomonadota; Gammaproteobacteria; Lysobacterales; Lysobacteraceae.